AUGAUUGUAGAUGCCUAUAUCUUGAUUGUAGGUACCUGCAUCUUAAUUGUUGGCAUAUACAAUCAAGAUGUAGGCACCUACAAUUAUGUAUGAAUGUGCCUACAAUCAUGUAUGAAGACACCUUUCUUAAGAUUUUUUUUCUCCAAUUUCAGAUUUAAAUUUUGUUGAUUUGUUAACCCCUGUUCCGUGAAUGUAGAAGGAAGA
This 204-nucleotide long non-coding RNA is filed under the name Elaeis guineensis (African oil palm). RNAcentral's name for it is "long non-coding RNA (EGUI_LNC008646)". Lineage: Eukaryota; Viridiplantae; Streptophyta; Magnoliopsida; Arecales; Arecaceae. The record is from RNAcentral.